Molecule: ribosomal RNA, 402 nt
Filed under: uncultured bacterium
Lineage: Bacteria
Description: partial 16S ribosomal RNA
Rfam family: Bacterial small subunit ribosomal RNA
Source: RNAcentral
GACGAACGCUGGCGGCGUGCCUAAUACAUGCAAGUCGAACGCAGUGGGGACGGGUGAGUAACACGUGGGUAACCUCCCAUCAGAGGGGAUAACACUUGGAAACAGGUGCUAAACCGAUACUGCUGGAUGAACCCGCGGUGCAUUAGCUAGUUGGUGAGGUAACGGCUCACCAAGGCCACGAUGCAUAGCCGACCUGAGGGGGUGCUAGGCCAAACGGGAACUGAGACAGGGCCCAGAUCCCACGGGUAGGCAGCAGUGGGAAAUUUGCGGCAAUGGACGAAAGUCUGACCGGGCAACGCCGCGGUAGUGAAAAAGGUUUUGGGUUGGAAAAACUCUGUUGUUGGAGAAGGGGAAUCGAACCAGAAGCCACGGCUAACUACGUGCCAGCCGCCGCGGUAAUUC